RNAcentral lists this ribosomal RNA (288 nucleotides) under uncultured bacterium. Its description in RNAcentral is "partial 16S ribosomal RNA". It matches the Rfam family "Bacterial small subunit ribosomal RNA", at positions 773 to 1060 of the family's 1533-position model. The record is from RNAcentral.
GUGGAUUAGAUACCCUGGUAGUCCUGGCAGUAAACGGUGCACGCUUGGUGUGAGGGGAUUCGACCCCCCUUGUGCCGGAGCAAACGCGUUAAGCGUGCCGCCUGGGAAGUACGGUCGCAAGACUAAAACUCAAAGAAAUUGACGGGGACCCGCACAAGCGGUGGAGUAUGUGGCUUAAUUCGAUGCAACGCGAAGAACCUUACCAAGGCUUGACAUGCAUCUCUAAGCGCGUGAAAGCGCGUGACCCUUCGGGGGAUUUGCACAGGUGCUGCACGGCCGUCGUCAACU